GAUGAACGCUGGCGGCGUGCCUAAUACAUGCAAGUCGAGCGAACAGACGAGGAGCUUGCUCCUCUGACGUUAGCGGCGGACGGGUGAGUAACACGUGGAUAACCUACCUAUAAGACUGGUAUAACUUCGGGAAACCGGAGCUAAUACCGGAUAAUAUAUUGAACCGCAUGGUUCAAUAGUGAAAGACGGUUUUGCUGUCACUUCUAGAUGGAUCCGCGCCGCAUUAGCUAGUUGGUAAGGUAACGGCUUACCAAGGCAACGAUGCGUAGACGACCUGAGAGGGUGAUCGGCCACACUGGAACGGAGACACGGUCCAUACUCCUACGGGAGGCAGCAGUAGGGAAUCUUCCGCAAUGGGCGAAAGCAUGACGGAGCAACGCCGCGUGAGUGAUGAAGGUCUUCGGAUCGUAAAACUCUGUUAUGAGGGAAGAACAAAUGUGUAAGUAACUAUGCACGUCUUGACGGUACCUAAUCAGAAAGCCACGGCUAACUACGUG
This 497-nucleotide ribosomal RNA is filed under the name uncultured bacterium. Its description in RNAcentral is "partial 16S ribosomal RNA". It matches the Rfam family "Bacterial small subunit ribosomal RNA", at positions 28 to 507 of the family's 1533-position model. The record is from RNAcentral.